Molecule: ribosomal RNA, 406 nt
Filed under: uncultured bacterium
Lineage: Bacteria
Description: partial 16S ribosomal RNA
Rfam family: Bacterial small subunit ribosomal RNA
Source: RNAcentral
AUUGAACGCUGGCGGCAGGCCUAACACAUGCAAGUCGAACGAGUGGCGGACGGGUGAGUAAUGUCUGGGAAACUGCCUGAUGGAGGGGGAUAACUACUGGAAACGGUAGCUAAUACCGCAUACCAUCAGAUGUGCCCAGUUGGGCUUAGCUGGUUGGUGGGGUAACGGCUCACCAAGGCGACGAUCCCUAGCUGCUCUGAGAGGAUGACCGUCCAAACUGGAGCUGGGACACGGGCCAGACUCCUACGGGAGGCAGCAGUGGGGAAUAUUGCACAACGGGCGCAAGCCUGAUGCAGCCCUGCCGGGUGUAUGAGGAAGGCCUUCGGGUUGUAAAGUACUUUCAGCGGGGAGGCGUUACCCGCAGAAGAAGCACCGGCUAACUCCGUGCCAGCAGCCGCGGUAAUUC